This 1014-nucleotide long non-coding RNA is filed under the name Homo sapiens (human). RNAcentral describes it as "HSALNT0386076". The record is from RNAcentral. Lineage: Eukaryota; Metazoa; Chordata; Mammalia; Primates; Hominidae.
AGAAAUGGCCAGAAUGUUCCUUGCUGCAGAUGCAUUGGCCCCAUCUGCAGGUCCUCUUUGACACCUACCUUACUCUCUCCCUCCACUCACACUCUGAGAACUGUGCUCAGGGGCAGCGCUACAACUUCCACAUUGGUCUUUACAGGGCUUGAGUGAUUAUUUCAAGAACAGAACGCUGUGUGGAAACCUUUACCAUAUUUCGUUGUAUCUAAGACACAUUUUUUUUUUUUGAAAUUUAACAUCUCUAAGGUUGGGUUAUGUUUCUUCAUCAUUGUCAGGUUGGAGCUUAAUCAGCAGCACUUUUUUUUAAUGUCACACACAGUAAUGGUGAUGCAUCUCACAAUUGAGAUCAUCUUAGACAUGAUGGAAUAUGGAAUCGUGUGCCUGUUACAAGCCAGGCUCUUGUCUGGGUUCUAGAGACGGUGGAAACCAAGACAGCACCAUCCUCUAGUGGUGUUCACAUCCCACCACAGUGGAGUCAGGACUUUGAAGUCCUCCAUUGGAUCUUCUCGGAAGAUGAGGGAAAUGAGAGAGUGUGGAGAGAGAUUUUGUAAGUCCGGUCUGGAAGUGGUCAUUGUUCAGAAUCCAGCCACGUGGGUACAUGGAACUGUAAGGCUAUUUCAACAUGGGAAACUGAAAUCGGGCAUAUCCCUGCGGAAGAAGCUGUCUCUUAGCGAAGAAUAAAACUGUGGACUGACCCCCACCCAUUUGCGAAGAAAGUACUGGGUCUUCAGCUUUCAUUGUUCAGCCGGUGGUCUUUGUGGACAACACCAGGGGCCCCUCCUGCUGAAGACUGUCUGGACUUCCUGAUUUUCACUCCUGUAUAAACCCCCUCCCCCAUUACUACCUUUGUCUCCUUGGGGAAAAAAAAUGUUUUUCACUUAAGCAAAAUAAUAACUACCCAGUAUUUGUUUCUGGAGUGAAAUUGUAAACUUCAUUGUACAUUCUUCCUGGCUUUGAUGCUUAUCGUGAAGAGUUCAGUGAAAAUAAAUUGUUUUUAUGAAAGCAGAGAAA